This 829-nucleotide ribosomal RNA is filed under the name marine sediment metagenome. RNAcentral describes it as "LSU rRNA". It matches the Rfam family "Bacterial large subunit ribosomal RNA", at positions 600 to 1431 of the family's 2925-position model. The record is from RNAcentral.
CGUGCCUAUUGAAGAAUGAACCGACGACUUGAUCUAUGUGGCUAGGUUAAGCAACUUCGUUGCGGAGCCGAAGCGAAAGCGAGUCCGAAUAGGGCGAUGAGUCGCGUGGAUCAGACCCGAAACCGAGUGAUCUACCCAUGGCCAGAGUGAAGCUCAAGUAAAAUUGAGUGGAGGCUCGAACUUGUGAGUGAGACAAAACUCUAGGAUGAGCUGUGGGUAGUGCAGGUGAAAUGCCAAACGAACUCGGAGAUAGCUGGUUCUCCCCGAAAUGCAUUUAGGUGCAGCCUCAGGAAGUAAUUUAUGGAGGUAGAGCUCUGGAUGGGCCAGGGGCCGUGAGGUUGCCGAACUCAACCAAACUGCAAAUGCCAUAAAUGUAACCCUGGGAGUGAGACUGUGGAGGCUAAGCUCCAUAGUCGAGAGGGAAACAACCCAGACCAUCAGCUAAGGUCCCAAAAGCAGGCUAAGUGGAAAAGGAAGUGGUGCCGCAGAAACAGCCAGGAGGUUGGCUCAGAAGCAGCCAUCCUUUAAAGAGUGCGUAACAGCUCACUGGUCGAGUGGUGCUGCACCGAUAAUUUAACGGGGCUCAAGUCUGCUACCGAAGCUAUGGCAUUGCCGUAAGGCAAUGGGUAGGGGAGCGUUGUCUAAGCUGCGAAGCUGUGGCGUAAGCCAUGGUGGAGCUAUGACAAGUGAGAAUGUCGGUAUGAGUAGCGUAAAGGCAUGUGAAAACCAUGCCCACCGUAAACCUAAGGUUUCCUAUGCAACGUCAAUCGGCAUAGGGUUAGUCAGGCCUAAGCCAAACCCUAAUGGGGUAGGCGAUGGAUAGUAGGUU